Molecule: non-coding RNA, 105 nt
Filed under: Carlito syrichta (Philippine tarsier)
Lineage: Eukaryota; Metazoa; Chordata; Mammalia; Primates; Tarsiidae
Source: RNAcentral
GGUUGGUCUGAAAGUAGUGAACUAUCUCAGUUGACUCACAGUCGGGUACAGUCUAACUCCUUGUUCUACUCUUUCCCUCCUUCUCACUACUGUACCAGGCUUUUU